AAUUUCUGUGAGAGCUUCAAGUGGAAAAUUCUCUCAUAAACCCCUCCCCCCUCCUCAGCGCUCCUCAACCGCCAGCACUGCCGCCACCUCCUAGUGAAAGCCGGAAGUCUCUUUUCUCAAUCGUAUCGUUCUCUUCUUUAGAAUUUCCCAAAAUGAAUAUCCCAAUAACAGCAAAACCCAAUACAACUAGCAUCAACAGCGACGCCACCAAUCCAUCCGCCGGAGAAUGCGGCAACUGUGGCUCCAAAGACACCUGGCUUCUCCACCACGUCCGCCUUCGAGGUAUCUAUCGCCGACUCUGCACCUCCUGUGUCCUCCGCCUCCACCCUUCCUCUUUCUGCCCUUUUCUACGACUCUUCCCCUCCUCCUCCUUCCAAGCGCCUCUCUUGCUCCAAUUGCUCCUCCUUCACCCACUCCCACUGCGUGCCCCCCCACCCUCCUUCCUCCUUGCCCUUCCUCUGCCCGCCUUGCGCUGACCC
Molecule: unclassified non-coding RNA, 479 nt
Filed under: Hevea brasiliensis (rubber tree)
Lineage: Eukaryota; Viridiplantae; Streptophyta; Magnoliopsida; Malpighiales; Euphorbiaceae
Source: RNAcentral